This 107-nucleotide unclassified non-coding RNA is filed under the name uncultured Basidiomycota. Its description in RNAcentral is "sequence contains ITS1". The record is from RNAcentral. Lineage: Eukaryota; Fungi; Basidiomycota. RNAcentral also lists the same sequence under 2 other names.
GUGAACGCCCUCACGGGCUUAUAACUAUUCCAAACCUCUGUGAACCGUGCCCUUCGGGGCUAUUUUACAAACAUGGUGUAAUGAACGUCAUAUAUCAUAACAAAACA